This 83-nucleotide transfer RNA is filed under the name Gemmatimonadota bacterium. Its description in RNAcentral is "Gemmatimonadetes bacterium (sponge metagenome) tRNA-Leu". It matches the Rfam family "tRNA". Rfam says of the family: Transfer RNA (tRNA) molecules are approximately 80 nucleotides in length. Their secondary structure includes four short double-helical elements and three loops (D, anti-codon, and T loops). Lineage: Bacteria; Pseudomonadati; Gemmatimonadota. The record is from RNAcentral.
GCGAAAGUGGCGGAAUUGGCAGACGCGCAAGACUUAGGAUCUUGUGGCCUCGGGCCGUGGGGGUUCGAGUCCCCCCUUUCGCA